CCAGUGUUCAGAAGGUUGUCUUGUGUGGGCAGGUUAUUUCCCAGCUGAGCUGAACGUGUGUCUGUGCACUUGUCUUUCCAGGUGACCCAAGACAGCUGGAACAAGUGACCGCAAGACCACACUGUGGGUCCUGAGAGCUGCCUUUCCCAUCUGCUUCAGCCCUACACCAAGUAGUCCUGGAUGUGUCCAGCUCUUUACAGAGAUGUACAAAGCCUCACCUGUAUGGCCCGAAUCCCUGCCCAGCCCAUCUCACUGCUCUGGCCUGCACUAGACUUGAGACUUUCUACAUCGCAGCUGGAAAGAGGUCCUUUGGAACUGGGUAUUUUUUGGCUGUUGAAACAUAGUGCCCUUGCUGAGGCUUCACCGGACUGGAGGAAGAGAGGAAAGCUGAACCUGGCAUAG
This 402-nucleotide long non-coding RNA is filed under the name Athene cunicularia (burrowing owl). RNAcentral's name for it is "lncRNA (ENSACUG00000013988.1)". Lineage: Eukaryota; Metazoa; Chordata; Aves; Strigiformes; Strigidae. The record is from RNAcentral.